CUCGAUACAAUAAAUUAAUUAGCAUCACAUCUUUAAAUAUGCAAGAUAACGGAAUCUUAAUUAACUGAAUCUUGAUAACAUGUUCCUGGGUAGAGUUUACUUAUGUAAUUAUUUGUGUACAUUGCAGGAGGAAAUGUUGUCAACCGAUCUUGACCAUGUGCAAUAAUUGUCAUGCAGAAAGUUAGGGUUAAAAUAAUCUAAACAGUUAUAUACUGUCGCUUUACAAACUAUUUUAGUUAUAAGUUGUUUUAGUAUUGUGUCGGAUUUUUUUUGGUAUUGAUAGUACAACUUAAGUAUUUUUUUCAUGAUUUGGCGUGAUCAAUAGGCAAUUCCAGCUUUUAGUUUAUGCGUGCAUGGGACGAUGGGAAGUAAGGUAUCACAUUGCUGAUUAUGCUGAAAAAUAAAAAUGGUGGCCGUGUAAACACGGAGUGAUAGCUUAUACUUGUAAAUAUUGAAAUAUUUCGGUUGUUUCGGUAGUUUUUAUUGAAAUUUUUCAGCAUAAUCAGCAAUAUGAUACCUUACUUCCCAUCAUCCCCUGCAGGCAUAAACUAAAAGCUGGAAUUGCCUAUUAAUCGAGUUAUUGGGCGCACGCGAGAAGUUGGGAGAGCACGAAAAGAGUAUCAGAGUUUGAGGCGCUAACUCGAUUGAGCAAGCCAAAUCAUGAAAAAAUUCUUUUAUAUAACAAUAUUUUAUCAAAAUACAAGACUAGUAGUUUUCUUCCUGAUGAAAUUUCAAUUUCUCCUAACAGAAACAAAAUACGAAAAGGUUUCUGAUUGGUCGCGAGAAAAUCGGCUGCUCGGGCAGCUCGACAUUGCCAGCUUGCCAAUGCAAGUGCAUGGGGCUUCAAAAACUGACGAUAAUUGAAAUUUUGAUAAUUUAGAGAUUUGGUUUUAUUGGUAAAAAGGGAGCACACAGUUAAUUGUAUUUAUCAUUGAGUCGUGGUCUGACUCUGUUUAUGUUUUUUUUAGUAUUUGGAUUUUUAUUUAUUUUGCACUGGUAUAACCUAUCCUGGAAACUGUACCAUAUUUUAAUGUGUCCAGGAUCCAACUAGUUUUGCCGUUUUAGAAGUAUGUUUUUCUCACAUGUUUCUGCCGAACAUUGUGGCGAACACGGUAAAAAGAACUCUUUUUCUUUGACUUUGCGAUGUAUACAGUACGAGCAUAUAUGGGCUUUAUCCCUGGCUUUUAUAUGUCAAAAGUAAAUGCCCGAGUGUUUUUAUUUAACAAAUUAUAUUUUAUAAUUGAUUAAAAACAAUGAAAAGUUUUGUGAAAAUUCUCGAGGAAAUGUUUCCCAAAACAGAGACAGGAAUUUUCUGCCGUGCUCAAUCGAGUUAUUGAGCACGCAUUUCAGUUCUUGUAUAACACAUAAUUAUAAUUUGUGUUUUUAACUAAUUGCAUGCCAUAGAAAAUUUUGUGUUAGAAAUAAUUCGUAGUUAAGACGUAAGUUGUGCUGUGGUCAAAAAGAGUUAGCCUUGGCUUAUACUUAUAAUAACAUUGCUAUCAUUAAGGGUCACUGACUAUGGCCGCCUACGUUUGUGUCAUUUAUAUAAAACUUUAUAUAAACAAAACUUAAGUUAAGCAAUAAAC
This 1586-nucleotide long non-coding RNA is filed under the name Paramuricea clavata. The record is from RNAcentral. Lineage: Eukaryota; Metazoa; Cnidaria; Anthozoa; Malacalcyonacea; Plexauridae.